UUAAUUUUAGUCCCUGGCCAAAUUGGUCCUAGAUUUGUACACAUAUGGGUCGAUGUAUUAGACACGUUGUUGCACUGUAGACCAUUCCACCGUUUCUCUAACUUAAAUCAAUUGUUGCACCACCAUAGACAUAAUUCACUACCUUUCUCCUACCCUCAAAAGGCUUCCUUCUGAUGCCGAUGAGUUCAUUGCCAACGUUCAAAUCGUAUUCAGAACUGGAAUCGAAAGGGAAAACCCAUCACAGUGUCCGCUCCUUUCCUCCGACCAUUCGACUCCACUGCCUUCACCGCUCUCUCGACAUAAACCCUACCCUUCCUUUUUCGCUCUUUCGCCUCCUUGAAUCAAUGGAACUUAGGUCGCAGGACAGACACCUUCUGCCAUUACAUGAUUUCACACACUAUCUCUAUUUAUGUGUUUUCCCUUUAAUUGGUUCCUUUAUUUAUUUCGAUCCUGUUUACAAUUCUGUUGUAGUUGUCUUCAAUGGUCGUAACUCCAACUCCCUGAAGAUCAUCUUUAAUAAUGAAUCGUUUCUCUAAAAUCCCAGGUAAAAGUUCUUUGUAUUUAAACUGGAAAAUCUUCUUCUCCAUAAACCUAGGCGAUGUUUAAUUUGCAUAAAAUCACACCACCGCCAACGACUUCCUGAUCCGUUCUUCCCACCGCUCCAACUUCAGGAACCCUAGAUGCAUGUUCAUGUUUCUGCUUUAAAUUGAUGGUGCAGGUUGACGAUUAAAAUCAAUAUUCUUUUUUUUUGUUAAUUUCUCCCACUUCUUUGUACCUCCUGCUUUUGAGUGUAUUCACAUCUUCAAAAUCACCGUUCCAAAAUUCCUGAAGCUUCGCCGGAAACUUGGCAUGCUGGUCCUUUGUUUAAGCCGGACUCCAUGGAUUUCUACAAUCUUGAACUCACCAAUACUAAUGUGGUGGAUCAUACAACCCAUGAUUUCAAGAAGGAAAACGCAAUUGUAUUUGUAAUAGUGCUCUGUCAAAUUUUUCCUGACCACAAUCAUAACAAACUUCUUUUUUAAAAUGAAUCAAGAAAUCCAAAAGUUUUUUUUCUUCACUUCAUGUAUUAUUUCUUUUUCCGUCUUAUUCCAUCUUUGAUUGAAUAAACUUGUUUCUAAUAAGGCCCCUUUUUUUUGCCUAUUACCUGUUUGAUAAAAUGCCACAACUAAUGAAAAAAAUCUGAAGGUUAGCAGGCGGAGGAUAAAAUUAUACAACCUUCUUACCACAUAUUGGAGCUCUAUCAGCAGAUACAUAUCUUUUGGAGGAGGUAAAUUAAAUUAUAUAUUUUUUGGUCAACAUGUGCUGAAGGGAAACAUUUUCAUUUUGAUGAAAAGUGAAAACUACUUCAAUGGUUUAUUGUAGGCUACUCAAUUUAUCACUCAAUGUAUGAUGACUCUGUAUGGAUGAGCGAAUUUGGUUAUCCAAUGUUUUCAAAGACAUGUUGCUGGCAUGUUUUAAGUUUUAACAUUAUUUAUAUGUUAUUUCAUUAUAAUUAAUUAUACAACUUAUUAUUUACAAAACUAAAAACUAAACAUAGAAUGACAGCAACGAGCAUUUGGGGUUUACUAGCUCUACAGCCUACAGAUGCGAAGAUUUUUCCUUUUAGUCAUGAGUCCUAUGUAUAUGAGCUUCAUGUAUGUUCAUAGAUCAUUUUUUUAAAAUAUCUGGUGGGAUUAAUCUUUCACUCGUUCUCCAGAUUUUCCCAUUUUUUUAACUAUAUAUAUAUAUAUAUAUAUAUAUAUUGUUUUUAUAAGGAUUCAUGGGUUCAGGUGGGAGGUGCAGUUAACAAUCUGAAGGUAUUAAUCUUUCACUUAUUCUCCAAAUUUUAAAUGGGUUUUGACCAUGUGAUAAAACAUGUUAAAGUGCAAUCCUGGAUUUGAAGGUCUCUAACAAACACCAUUCGUAUCAAAGUAAUUUCCUAUAUAGCAUGUUCCUUUCAUUUCUAUUUUGUUAAACCUUUUAGGUUUACUUUAUUUUUUUCUUAUAAAACUGUUGUAUUUUAAACGUAUAUUACUAUAAUUUUAUUUGUAAUUUUUUGAUUCUUAGUUUCUUUAGUAUUUCUACAUAAUUUAUUUUAUUUUUACCUAAUUAAAGCAUGGUAUUGAAAGUACAAGGUUGUGAUUGGUGGUUGAUUUAAAAAUACAGCAAAUUUAACAUUUAUGAGUACGUAUGUUUGUUAUGUACACAAAACCGACUUACUUUGGAAAUUAGUUGUUUGUCAUUUAUCCCCAGAUUCUUCAAAAAAAAAGAUACAUUCAUCAAUUAUUGACUUAAAUUGAAAAUGUUAUUGACCUGCUUAAGUUUCCAUUUUCUCCGUAUUUUAUCAUGAUAACAAACACUACCUUGUUAUACAUGUUUAUGUUGAUGUAAUUGAUGUGUAGGUUCUUUUGUAUAAAGUGCCCACCUUAACUAUUGAUGUAAUCCCAGGGAUAGCGCAACAUGAAAUAUUGAACAAUAGAAGGCAUGUCCUGACCAAGGAUAACGAUGCUUCUGUGAAGCUUUGGGGGAUCACUAAAGGUGUUGUGAUUGAGGACUACGGACAGGUCAGCAUUCCUACAUGGUUUGACUGCAGAUACUAGGCUUGGAAGCAUUGCUCGCAGCUUUAUAAAAGAUCCGAAAGUUCUCACAUUCAUUGAUCCUUAGGUGGGCUUACGAACAAAAUUAGAAACUUUCAGGGAUCAAACACAUGGACUGUUUUUGUAAUUUACUCUUUUGUUUAUAAUAUAUGAUGUUAUUGUUUGCAGAGGACAUGAUUUUAGCAAAAACGUGUUCAAUGAACAAACUGUUAUUGUUUGUGAUCAGGUAUAACUACAUUUGAAUUUAUAUGGGCAACGCAGACUUACCCUAGGUUGCUUUAGGUUUAUGAUCCACUAAUCAUUAUACAUCGUUAACGACAUUGUCAGUGUGAAAGAGAAUACCUUAUCAAGUGUCUAAAGGCACAAAAAAUGGCUGAUUUGGAGGCAUUACCAAAAGGGAAGUGGUUUUGUUUCACGGAUUGUGAGAGAAUUCAUUCUGUUUUGCAAAAUCUGCUAACUCUAGAACCAAGAUUGUUGAUGAUGACCUCUUGACUUUUGUGAGUAAAUAUAUAUAUUUAUUUAA
Non-coding RNA from Lactuca sativa (garden lettuce), 3099 nucleotides. Lineage: Eukaryota; Viridiplantae; Streptophyta; Magnoliopsida; Asterales; Asteraceae. The record is from RefSeq and is a predicted model, not a curated record.